UUUAGACACUAGCCUGGGACACUUGGGCUGACCACGGUUGCCUAUAGUUUUCAUUUUGUUGUUGAUUCUUUGCAGUUUUCUACGUAGACAAUCAACUGUAAACAAAGACGUUUCUCUCCCAAUUUGCGUAAGCUGUUAUUCCCUUCCUGGUCUUGUCAGCUUAGCUAGCAAUUCCACUGCAGUGCUAAUCCCGAACAGCACAGGUGGCACAGAGCGCUAUACCCCCACCCCCAGGGAGGUGUCACGGCAGAACUGUCACUGCUGCGAAAGGCCUGGGCCCAGAUGAUGCUGUCUUGCCUUGGUCCCCAGCUGAGACAAACCAUGAGAACAUCAGGUGCGCUUCCUCACCUGACACCUAGAGGACAGAGCCGGUACGGCUCAGGGUUCUUACCUAAACUACUCGCAAACUCCACAUCCUGGCAUAUAAAGACACAAGCAAAAUGAGGAACUGGGAAGUUUUUUCCUCCUUCUAAAUUCAUAAUCUGCUGGACUUUGUCUGUUGAUUACCGAAGGUGUUGUCUGAGCUUUCUGGUAAACACAAGCUUGGCUACAAACAAAACACAGCUCCUGCUCUUCACUGGUCACAGGCAACAGGGGAACUGCAGCCUUGCCCGCUGCGUACAAGCCUGGUACCAUGCAGGGCUUUGGGUUGGCACAGGAAGCUGUCCCACGCCAGGGCACGUCUCGCCUCACGAGCCUCGGGCUCUGAAGCUUCCCUGUAUUGUCUCUGACCUAGUGUUAGCACCAAUUUCCUCCCACUUCACUUUCUGACCCUGUGGAGGAACACGGCCAGAGGCAAGCGAAAUACUCUCACAAACGCGCCGUUCCAGUUCUUCACUCAUAACCUUUAACGCUAAAAUUCUCGUUUUUUUUAAGACUCCUGCCCUCAGCCCUGACGGUUCCUGGCCACAACUUUAAUUUCUCAAAAGGUGAGAGCGAUGUCUUCAUCAUCUCUGUCUUCUUGCCUUCUUGGAUUCAAAGUCGGACAUAAUGAAUCAAGUAACAGGUUUUCCUAAGAAUCCCGUCUUCAGCAGUCCGUCUUGCAGCACUCAGUCACCAUAACAUCCUUAUACUGGAUCCCUGUCGCCGUGGUCAUCGGGGGGAAGGAUUUGGGAAGGAUUAUGUGCUAUCCUAUCUCCGGUUUUGGCCUGAUUCCCCGGGCUGACCCUCACAGGUGGUCUGGUUUUGUUUUGCUUUCCUUACCCUGCAAGACAAGGAAAAGCAGCUGGAGCUGAAACCGUCCAUCCCCUCCCUCCUCAGCCAGGUUCUGGCCACCCUGGCAAAGGCUUCCCUUGAGGGAAAGCCUUCCUUCCUUACCGACCCCUUAACAGCGGGGCGCUCUUCAGAGUCAGCUGCCCCUCCAGUGUGCUUCAGAGCAGCUGCUUUGCCUCCGUUUCCUGCAGGAAACUGGAAGGGCCCACCCUUGACCAGGACGGCCCAGCAGGGACGCUGGGGCUCUCAGCUCCAGUUGCCAACACGGCAUCCAUCCAGCCCAAUGUUCCAACAUCACUGGCGCCGACAGCACCUCUCCAGGAAGGUGCUCUCUUCGUUUUUGGGGUGGUUUGCUCAGUGAUAAUUCUUGCAUGUUUGUAAGAAAAGCCGUUGAUUUUCAGCCGAUUGAACCCUUCAUGUUACUGUGAGGAAGGGUAUGGUAUGCUGACUUCCUUGAGGUGCUGGGACGGAAACUGGAGCCAGCCCUGGGGACUAAACCCAGGGCUUCCACACGAAGCUACACCCCCAAGGCCCUUCUCAGUCUGGGACAUCUCCCACAUUCUCCAGGAUGGGGCUCCCUCCUGCCUCUGCAGGAGGAAGAGCUCCUGCACCCAUGUGCCAGGAAGCACUGACCUUAGCUCCCAGCUGUGACUGAGGAACAGGGGUUACGAUGGCUCUAGGUAUUUGUAGCACAUGGUAUAGAUCAAUGUCUACUGAAUUGAAGGAGAACUGGGAAAAACAAUUUUCAACACUUUUCACUAAUUAAAACAAAGUACUACUUUUA
Cavia porcellus (domestic guinea pig) is the source of this 1996-nucleotide long non-coding RNA. RefSeq lists it as uncharacterized. The transcript has 2 exons. Lineage: Eukaryota; Metazoa; Chordata; Mammalia; Rodentia; Caviidae. The record is from RefSeq and is a predicted model, not a curated record.